CAAAGGCAGAGGAGAACAAAGGAAGGAGGAAGUAACUUGUGGAGUGCUGAGAAAGGUGAUCAGAAGAGCCAUCACUGAAGAUGACAACUGAGCAAAGACCCAAAGGAGGUGAAGAGUGAACUACGGAGGAAGCACCUUCCUGGCAGAGAACAGCAAGUGCAAAGGCCCUGGGCAGGGAGGAUGACUGGGGAUCAUUCAAGCAAGAGCAAAGAGGCCAAUGUGGAAGGAACAGAGUCAGCAAGAAGGAGUGUAAAAGGAGCUCUGGCUGCUGUAGGGAGAAGAAACUAAGGAAAUACCAGCAGAAGCAGGGACCCUGGCCAAGAGGCUAAUGAAAUCAUCCAAGUGAGAGAUGACAGGGGCUUGGACAAGCAGAGGUGACCUGGAUAGACUCUGAAGUUACGGUUACCUGAAAGACUGGUACGGGGUUUGACAGAAAAAGAAGAGUCAAGGAAGAUCCCAAAGUUAUUGGCCCUGGGCAAGCAGAAACAUGAAGCUGGGUUUAACUGAACAAAGGAAGAAGUGACUAUAUCAGAUCUGGGGACAAGAUAUGAAGUUCAGUUUUUUAUUUUUAUUUCAUUAUUUUGAGAGUCUCACUCUGUCGCCCAGGCUGGAGUGCGGUGGCAUGAUCUCAGCUCACUGCAACCUCCGCCUCCCGGGUUCAAGCGAUUCUCCUGCCUCAGCCUCCUGAGUAGCUGGGAUUACAGGCGUGUGCUAUCACGCCUGACUAAUUUUUGUACUUUUAGUAGAGAUGGGGUUUCACCAUGUUGGCCAGGCUGGUUUGUAACUCCUGACCUCAGGUGAUCCACCUGCCUCAGCCUCCCAAAGUGCUGGGAUUACAGGCGUGAGCCACCAUGCCCGGCCUGUCUGAUUAUUUUAAUUAAGACUUUAAGUCAGACAGAGGAGCUUAUUUUGGCUACUCUAGAUCCUCUGUUGCACAUGCAUUUUAGAAUCAGCUUUAUUUUUACUAAAUUUUAUUUGUAUUUUACUGAUUUUUUUUAUUUUACUAAACUUUAUUUUUAUUUUAUUUUAUUUUUUUGAGACAGAGUCUGGCUCUGUCACCCAGGCUGGAGUGCAGUGGUGCAAUCUCGGCUCACUGCAAGCUCCGCCUCCCAGGUUCAAGCCAUUCUCCUGCCUCAGCCUCCUGAGUAGCUGGGACUACAGGCGCCCGCCACCACGCCCGGAGAAUUUUUUGUAUUUUUAGUGGAGACGGGGUUUCACCGUGUUAGCAAGGAUGGUCUCGGUCUCCUGACCUCGUGAUCCGCCCACCUCGGCCUACCAAAGUGCUGGGAUUACAGGCGUAAGCCACUGCGCCCGGCAGAUGGUUACUUCUUGAGUGAACUUUGGUAGUUUGUGUCAUUCAAGGAAUCUGUUUCUUCUAGAUUGCUGAUCAAUAUUCAGUUAUUACACUUUCAAUAUCUUUAGAAUCUGUGUGAUGUCAUCUCUUUCACUGCUGAUAUUACAGUUAUUGUCUUCCCUUUUUUCCCCUGAUCAGUCUGGGUAGAGGUUUAUGAGUUUCAUUGCUCUCUCAAAUAACUAGCUUUUGGUUUCAUGAUUUCUGUACUGGUUUUCUGUUUCAUUGAUUUCCAGACUGGCCUUUUCUUUUUCUUUCUUUCUUUCUUUUUUUUUUGAGACGGAGUCUCGUUCUGUCGCUAGGGUGGAGUGCAAUGGCGCGAUCUCGGUUCACUGCAACCUCCGACUCCCUGGUUAAAGCGAUUCUCCUGCCUCAGCCUCCUGAGUAGCUGGGAUUACACAGGCAAGCGCCACCACGCCCAGCUAAUUUUUGUAUGGUUAGUAGAGACGGGGUUUCACCAUGUUGGCCGGGAUGAUCUCAAUCUCCUGACCUUGUGAUCUGCCCGCCUCAGCCUCCCAAAGUGCUGGGAUUACAGGCAUGGGCCUCCCUGCCUGGCCACACUGGCUUUUUCUUCUGCUUAAUUGGGGUUUCACUAGUCUUCAUUUUUUCUAAUUUCUAAAAGUGGGACCCCAAGGUCAUUGAUUUGGGACCUUUGUUCUUUUCUGAUACAGAUGCUCAACUUAAAAUUGGGUUACAUCCUGAAAAACCCAUCAUAAAAUUGAAAAAUGUAAGUUGAGACGUCAUAAGUCAGGGACCAUCUGCACUAUAUAAAUUUCCCUUUAGCUCCAUCACACAAAUUUUAUGUGGCACUUUCACCUUCAUUCAGUUCCAGAUACUUACUUACUUCGCUGUUGAUUUUCUUUGACCC
Molecule: long non-coding RNA, 2219 nt
Filed under: Homo sapiens (human)
Lineage: Eukaryota; Metazoa; Chordata; Mammalia; Primates; Hominidae
Description: HSALNT0355225
Source: RNAcentral